This 586-nucleotide long non-coding RNA is filed under the name Triticum aestivum (bread wheat). RNAcentral describes it as "long non-coding RNA (TAES_LNC006104)". The record is from RNAcentral. Lineage: Eukaryota; Viridiplantae; Streptophyta; Magnoliopsida; Poales; Poaceae.
UGGCAAGAUGUGCUGAUUCAGCAGGCACGCUCCUAAUGGAUUCAUCAAUGGUAGUAGAGUGCCACCAAUGGAUUCAUCUAUGAGCUAUGGGUUGUCAAGGCUACAGUAGUAAUUAUAAGUAAGCUAAUACUGAUAUUAUUUGUAACAAUUGUAUAUUCCAUGUAGCUGUCUGAAACUUUGUUUAUGGUGUCAAAACCAAGUGUGUAGCAUAAUUUAAGAUUUACUUGUAUGGUUAGAAGAUUCACUUGUUUCACGACUCUAAAAUAUUUUUUUGUUUUCAGGCUUUUAACUUCUGUUAAAUUUGGGUGGAUCGAUGCCUCGCCGAACUAACUUAUGAAAUUGGAGAUCAGUUGAUUUGAUAAUCGUUACCUGGCUGGCAAUCCCUGACAAGUGAACUUAAUACUACGUGCAUGACAACUACACUUUGGUCUGCACUCUUCAUCUACAACUCAAAGUUAGUAAACUCUUCUUUGUUUCUUUUUUGGAAUCCACUUAAUGCAAUAGAGUUUCAGAAACUAAAAGCCUGUUGUAAAUUAUGGCAAUUCUCUGACUUUUUUUGGUAAUGCCUAAUGCCUCCAGGUCCUAU